GGACCGGCUAAUUCCGUGCCAGCAGCCGCGGUAAUACGGAAGGUCCGGGCGUUAUCCGGAUUUAUUGGGUUUAAAGGGAGCGUAGGCCGUCUGAUAAGCGUGUUGUGAAAUGUCGGGGCUCAACCUGGGCAUUGCAGCGCGAACUGUCAGACUUGAGUGCGCGGGAAGUAGGCGGAAUUCGUCGUGUAGCGGUGAAAUGCUUAGAUAUGACGAAGAACUCCGAUUGCGAAGGCAGCCUGCUGUAGCGCAACUGACGCUGAAGCUCGAAAGCGUGGGUAUCGAACAGGAUUAGAUACCCUGGUAGUCCACGCGGUAAACGAUGGAUGCUCGCUGUUUGCGUCUGACGUAAGCGGCCAAGCGAAAGCGUUAAGCAUCCCACCUGGGGAGUACGCCGGCAACGGUGCAACUCAAAUGAAUUGACGGAAU
RNAcentral lists this ribosomal RNA (426 nucleotides) under uncultured organism. RNAcentral describes it as "bacterial SSU rRNA". It matches the Rfam family "Bacterial small subunit ribosomal RNA", at positions 490 to 919 of the family's 1533-position model. The record is from RNAcentral.